GACGAACGCUGGCGGCGUGCUUAACACAUGCCAGUCGAACGGAAAGGCCCUGCUUUUGUGGGGUGCUCGAAUGGCGAACGGGUGAGUAACACGUGAGUAACCUGCCCUUGACUUUGGGAUAACUUCAGGAAACUGGGGCUAAUACCGGAUAGGAGCUCCUGCUGCAUGGUGGGGGUUGGAAAGUUUCGGCGGUUGGGGAUGGACUCGCGGCUUAUCAGCUUGUUGGUGGGGUAGUGGCUUACCAAGGCUUUGACGGGUAGCCGGCCUGAGAGGGUGACCGGCCACAUUGGGACUGAGAUACGGCCCAGACUCCUACGGGAGGCAGCAGUGGGGAAUAUUGCACAAUGGGCGGAAGCCUGAUGCAGCAACGCCGCGUGCGGGAUGACGGCCUUCGGGUUGUAAACCGCUUUCGCCUGUGACGAAGCGUGAGUGACGGUAAUGGGUAAAGAAGCACCGGCUAACUACGUG
Molecule: ribosomal RNA, 468 nt
Filed under: uncultured bacterium
Lineage: Bacteria
Description: partial 16S ribosomal RNA
Rfam family: Bacterial small subunit ribosomal RNA
Source: RNAcentral